UGUGUGCGAGUCAACGGGUGA
Molecule: small nuclear RNA, 21 nt
Filed under: Arabidopsis thaliana (thale cress)
Lineage: Eukaryota; Viridiplantae; Streptophyta; Magnoliopsida; Brassicales; Brassicaceae
Description: snRNA_10630
Source: RNAcentral